This 400-nucleotide unclassified non-coding RNA is filed under the name soil metagenome. RNAcentral describes it as "partial contains 5.8S ribosomal RNA, internal transcribed spacer 2, and large subunit ribosomal RNA". The stretch from base 1 to 122 matches the Rfam family "5.8S ribosomal RNA", at positions 35 to 154 of the family's 154-position model. The record is from RNAcentral.
GAUGAAGAACGUAGCGAAAUGCGAUACUUGGUGUGAAUUGCAGAAUCCCGUGAACCAUCGAGUCUUUGAACGCAAGUUGCGCCUCAAGCCAUUAGGUUGAGGGCACGUCUGCCUGGGCGUCACAUAUCGUUGCCUGAUGCCAGUUUCCUCGUGAUGGGUGACUGUGCAGGGCGAAUGAUGGCUUCCCGUGAGCAUUGUUGCCUCAUGGUUGGUUGAAAAUUGAGUCCUUGGUAGGGAGCGCCGUGAUAGAUGGUGGUUGAGUGACGAACGAGACCCAAUCAUGUGAGACCCCUACCGAAUUUGGCCUUCAUGACCCACAUGCGUCUUUGGAACGCUCAUGACGAGACCUCAGGUCAGGCGGGGCUACCCGCUGAGUUUAAGAAUAUCAAUAAGCGGAGGA